RNAcentral lists this ribosomal RNA (1485 nucleotides) under Triticum aestivum (bread wheat). RNAcentral describes it as "partial small subunit ribosomal RNA". The record is from RNAcentral. Lineage: Eukaryota; Viridiplantae; Streptophyta; Magnoliopsida; Poales; Poaceae.
AUGGGAGCGGCCAUGGCGGAGGAGAAGAGGGCGCACGCGAUGAUGUUCCCGUUCCCGUGCUCGGGCCACAUCAACCCGACGCUCAAGCUGGCGGAGCUGCUGCACUCGCGCGGGGUGCACGUCACCUUCGUCAACACGGAGCACAACCACGAGCGGCUGCUGCGGACGGGCGGCGCGCGGCUCGCCGGCCGGGACGGGUUCCGGUUCGAGUCCGUCCCCGACGGGCUGGACGACGAGGACCGCGCCGCGCCCGACAAGACGGUGAGGCUGUACCUGUCGCUGCGCAGGAGCUGCGGCCCGCCGCUGGUGGACCUCGCGCGCCGGCUCGGGGAGCAAGAGGGCGUGCCGCCCGUCACCUGCGUCGUGCUCAGUGGCCUCGCCAGCUUCGUGCUGGGCGUCGCGGAGGAGCUCGGCGUGCCGUCAUUCGUGAUCUGGGGCACCAGCGCCGUCGGCUUCGUCUGCACGCUCCGGCUGCGCCAGCUCACACAAAGAGGCUACACGCCACUCAAAGAUGAGAGCUACUUGACCAACGGGUACCUGGACACGCCGAUCGACUGGAUCGCCGGGAUGCCGACGGUGCGGCUCGGCGACAUCUCCAGCUUCGUCCGGACGGUUGAACCGAAUGGAUUCGGUCUGCGCGUGGAGGAGGAGGAGGCCAACAGCUGCGCCAGAGCGCAGGGCCUCAUCCUCAACACGUUCGACGAGCUCGAGUCAGACGUCCUGGGCGCCCUCCGGGAAGAGUUCCCGCGCGUGUACACCAUCGGGCCCCUCGCGGCCGCUAUGCACCGCCGGGUCGACCACGGCGCGUCCGGGCUCAGCCUGUGGGAGGAGGACGCGGCGUGCAUGGCGUGGCUGGACGCGCAGCCGGCGGUGGGGUCGGUGCUGUACGUCAGCUUCGGGAGCCUGGCGGUGCUGUCGCUGGACCAGCUCGCGGAGUUCGCCUGGGGCCUCGCCGCCAGCAACCGCCCGUUCCUCUGGGUCGUGCGCCCCGGCCUCGUCGCCGGUGACCGCGGCAUGGAGGCCCUGCCCGCCGACUUCCUCGCGGAGACCAAGGGCCGGCGCUUCAUCGCCGAGUGGUGCGCGCAGGAGCAGGUGCUACGGCACCGCGCCGUGGGGGGCUUCCUGACUCACAGCGGGUGGAACUCGACGACGGAGAGCAUCUGGGCGGGCGUGCCGAUGAUCUGCGCGCCGGGGUUCGCGGACCAGUACAUCAACAGCCGGUACGUGUGCGGAGAGUGGGGCGUCGGGCUGCGCCUGGACGAGCAGCUGCGGCGAGAGCAGGUCGUGGCGCACAUCGAGGAGCUCAUGGGCGGAGGGGAGAAGGGCGAGGAGAUGAGGCGCAGCGCCGCCGAGUGGAAGGCUCUGGCCGAGGCGGCCACGGCGCCCGGGGGGUCGGCGUACGAGAACCUCGACAAGCUGGUCGAGGAGCUGCGGCUGGAGGUGCCGGACGGCGGCAAGCCUGCCAAAGUCACGCACGCCCGGUGA